RNAcentral lists this ribosomal RNA (1974 nucleotides) under Pinus taeda (loblolly pine). Its description in RNAcentral is "eukaryotic LSU rRNA". It matches the Rfam family "Eukaryotic large subunit ribosomal RNA", at positions 1448 to 3401 of the family's 3401-position model. Lineage: Eukaryota; Viridiplantae; Streptophyta; Pinopsida; Pinales; Pinaceae. The record is from RNAcentral.
AUCUUGGUGGUAGUAGCAAAUAUUCAAAUGAAAACUUUGAAGACUGAAGUGGGGAAAGGUUCCAUGUGAACAACACUUGGACAUGGGUUAGUCGAUCCUGAGAGAUGGGGAAGCCUUGUAUCGACGGUGCACUCUGCAUGAGCAUCAAAAGGGAAUUGGGUUAAUAUUCCUGAACUGGUACAUGGCAGCAGGUGGCAAUGUUAGCAAAUCUGGAGAUGUCGUCGGGGGCCCCGGGAAGAGUUAUCUUUUCUUUUUAACAUCUUUCCCACCCUGGAAUCGGCUCACCAAGAGAUAGGGUCCAGCAAUUGGAAGAGCACCACACAUCUUGUGGUGUCUGGUGCGCCCUUAGUGGCCCUUGAAAUUUUGGAGGACCAAGUUAUGUUCAUGCUCAGUCGUACUCAUAACCGCAUCAGGUCUCCAAGGUGAAUAACCUCUAGACAAUAGAACAAUGUAGGUAAGGGAAGUCAGAAAAAUGAAUCCAUCACUUCAGGAAAAGGAUUGGCUCUGAAGGUUAGGCCUAGGGGUUUGCUCCCUCAACUCGUGGGCUAUCGGUAGUCUGCCCGAGCUGCUCUCGCAGCGAGGGUAGGUAGCUGUGUGCCGAUUGGGCUACGAGCAUAGAAUGCCCCCUGACGGGUGCUUUUCCCUAAGCAUUGAACAAUCGACUUAGAACUUGUAUGGACAAGGGGAAUCUGACUGUUUAAUUGAAACAAAGAAUUGUGAUGGUCCUUGCGGAUGCUGAUGCAACGUGAUUUCUGCCCAGUGCUUUGAAUGUCAAAGUGAAGAAAUUCAACCAAGUGUGGGUAAACGAUGGGAGUAACUAUGACUCUCUUAAGGUAGCCAAAUUCGUCGUCGUCUAAUUAGUGAAAUGCAUGAAUGGAUUAACGAGAUUCCCACUGUCCCUAUCUAUUAUCUAGCGAAACCACAACCAAGAGAAUGGGCUUGAAAAAACCAGUGGAGAAAGAAGACCCUAUUGAGCUUCGCUCUAAUUCGAUUUUGUGAAAUGACUUGAGAGGUGUAGAAUAAGUGGGAGACGUUUUAAGUGCAAGUGAAAUACCAAUACUUUUAACAUUAUUUUACUUAUGUCAUGGGGCAGAGACGGGACACUGCCCCUAUUUUUGGCCUUAAGGCAUGUUUCGGCGGGUCGAUCCGGAUAGAAGACAUUGUUAGGUGGGGAGUUUGGCUGGGGCAGCACAUCUGUUAAAAGAUAACACAGGUGUCCUAAGAUGAGCUCAAUGAGAACAGAAAUAUUGUGUGGAACAAAAAGGGAAAAGCUCAUUUGAUUUUUAUUUUUAGUAUGAAUAAAAACCAUGAAAGCGUGGACUAUCGAUCCUUUAAAUUUUCAGAAUUUGAAGCUAGAGGUGUCAGAAAAGUUACCAUAGGGAUAACUGGCUUGUGGCAGCCAAGCAUUCAUAGAGACAUUGCUUUUUGAUCCUUCGAUGUCAGCUCUUCCUAUCAUUGUGAAGUAGAAUUCACCAAGUGUUGGAUUUUUCACCCACCAAUAGGGAGUGUGAGCUGGGUUUAGACCAUCGUGAGACAGGUUAGUUUUACCCUACUGAUGAACUGCACCGCAAUAUUAAUUCAACUUAGUACGAGAGGAACAGUUGAUUCACAUAAUUGGUCAUCACGCUUGGUUGAAAAGCCAGUGGUGCGAAGCUACCAUGUGUCAGAUUAUGACUAAACGCCUCUACGUCAAAAUCCAUGCUAGAAGUGAUGCAUGUCACUCUUCGACUGUAUCUCGACCCAUAGUAGGGGCAUCACUUUAUCACCCUGAGGGGCCCAUGUCAUUUGCAAACUGUGACCGUGAAGCAUCUCGGUCGGGGUAGCUUUGAAGUUCAAUUCCAAACGAUCAUUGAGAAGAAUCCUUUUCAUACGACUUAAAUACGUGAUGGGGUAUUGUAAGUGGCAGAGUGGCCUUGCUGCCACAAUCCAUCGAGAUUCAGCCCUUGGUCACCUCGAUUCAGAGCUUCGCUCUAA